This 1021-nucleotide small RNA is filed under the name Cryptococcus neoformans H99. RNAcentral's name for it is "Cryptococcus neoformans var. grubii H99 hypothetical RNA". Lineage: Eukaryota; Fungi; Basidiomycota; Tremellomycetes; Tremellales; Cryptococcaceae. The record is from RNAcentral.
CACAGCUCCAAGACUAUCUUCACGGCCAGCUGACAAUCACACACAAGACACUCCCGCAGGACGAGACAUGGAUGGAGCCGGCUCCAUGCGCUGGACCUUUUGCCUAUCGUAGAAGCCGGCCUUUCCCUUCUCGAUAAUCGCAGACGCCCUUGCCCGCAUCUUCUGCCUGCCAAUCACCGACCCCGCACGUCCCAUCAGCUUGCGUAGGCUACUGUAUUUUUUACGCUUGAUUAUAACCGGAGCAGGUGCAGAGACAGGAAUGACAGCUGGAGCUGGGAUCGGGGUUGCCACCUGACAUCUGGCCUCAUGCUUGGCCUUGACUUGAGUUUGAGCUUUUAGAAGCGCUUGCAGUCGUUCCUUUUCGAUCCUUCUCUUGUUGAUCAAGGUCCGUUCACCACAAGGUAGUAUUUCCAACAACCUAUCCACCCCAAUCUGCACCACAUCAUCCCACUCGCCCAUACUAUCCUUCCUGAGCGUCCUUGCCGCCUCUUCGAGCUCUUUCAAGUGGGGAUAACAAGCAAUCCCGAAUUGAACAUUUGCAUCGGUGCCGAGGAAGAUACAUUCCAUAGCCCAGGUGCAGUAACGGUACGCCGCAUUGACCAACGAUUCCCAGGUGUGGCAACCCGGCAUGUUGGCGAGACGGUCGUGCAUGACAGUGUGCAGCAAGCGCUGGAUGACAUGACAUCGCAUAUGGUCGGCGAACUUGGGUGUAAAAGAGGAAAAGGCGGGACCGCCGGAAGUGCUGGUACUAGCAGGGGUCGUGGGGCAAAGACCCACAAAGGUGGUAAAAUUGAUGCCAAGCGUGUAACGAGACAAGGGGUCAUGAUGAAUGCAGAUGAGGAUAUAGCCUGGGGCACAAGUCAUGCUGCCGUCGGCCAAACCGAUGUUGCGCAGGGAACGAUGGAGGGAAGGACUCGGUCGUGGCUCCGAGUUUGCAAAGGUCAAGGUAGGCGGAGUAGUCGUAGUCUCCUGAUAAUCAGAAGGGGUAGUCUGAAGAGUAGAGGGGAGUGUAACUAUGUCG